This 254-nucleotide ribosomal RNA is filed under the name uncultured bacterium. RNAcentral's name for it is "partial 16S ribosomal RNA". It matches the Rfam family "Bacterial small subunit ribosomal RNA", at positions 524 to 776 of the family's 1533-position model. The record is from RNAcentral.
UACGGGGGGAGCAAGCGUUGUUCGGAUUUACUGGGCGUAAAGGGCGCGUAGGCGGUCAGCACAAGUCAGUUGUGAAAUCUCCGGGCUUAACUCGGAAAGGUCAACUGAUACUGUGCGACUAGAGUGCGGAAGGGGCAACUGGAAUUCUCGGUGUAGCGGUGAAAUGCGUAGAUAUCGAGAGGAACACCUGCGGCGAAGGCGGGUUGCUGGGCCGACACUGACGCUGAUGCGCGAAGGCGUGGGGAGCGAACGGG